AAUUUUUUUCCUCUUUUUGCAAACUUUCACAAGUUUUCCAAUAGAUUUCACAAGUUUUUCCAAAACAAAAGAAACGAAGGAAACUUGUUGUUGAUACCAUACAUUGUUUUA
Molecule: small RNA, 111 nt
Filed under: Arabidopsis thaliana (thale cress)
Lineage: Eukaryota; Viridiplantae; Streptophyta; Magnoliopsida; Brassicales; Brassicaceae
Description: ATSL103780
Source: RNAcentral